This is a long non-coding RNA of Poecile atricapillus (Black-capped chickadee), 173 nucleotides long. RefSeq lists it as uncharacterized. The record is from RefSeq and is a predicted model, not a curated record. The transcript is spliced from 3 exons. NCBI's taxonomy places the organism in Eukaryota, Metazoa, Chordata, Aves, Passeriformes, Paridae.
GAAAAAAUUUGGAAAUUGGAUACAGAAUAUACAUACAGACCACGUCUUGACUACCCUUCCUAUUGGUGACCAGUGGGACUUCCUCAACAGAAACUUCCAGCCUGUUGUGAAUCAGUCUCUGUCUUUGCUGCAGCUGCUUUUACCUUUCCCCUACACACAAGACUUUGAGCUGA